Molecule: ribosomal RNA, 350 nt
Filed under: uncultured Cellulomonas sp.
Lineage: Bacteria; Bacillati; Actinomycetota; Actinomycetes; Micrococcales; Cellulomonadaceae
Description: bacterial SSU rRNA
Rfam family: Bacterial small subunit ribosomal RNA
Source: RNAcentral
ACAGGUGGUGCAUGGUUGUCGUCAGCUCGUGUCGUGAGAUGUUGGGUUAAGUCCCGGCAACGAGCGCAACCCUCGUCCUAUGUUGCCAGCGGGUCAUGCCGGGGACUCAUGGGAGACUGCCGGGGUCAACUCGGAGGAAGUGGGGAUGACGUCAAAUCAUCAUGCCCCUUAUGUCUUGGGCUUCACGCAUGCUACAAUGGCCGGUACAAAGGGCUGCGAUACCGCGAGGUGGAGCGAAUCCCAGAAAGCCGGUCUCAGUUCGGAUUGGGGUCUGCAACUCGACCCCAUGAAGUCGGAGUCGCUAGUAAUCGCAGAUCAGCAACGCUGCGGUGAAUACGUUCCCGGGCCUU